GAUGAACGCUGGCUACAGGCUUAACACAUGCAAGUCGAGGGGAAACGACGGGGAAGCUUGCUUCCCCGGGCGUCGACCGGCGCACGGGUGAGUAACGCGUAUCCAACCUGCCUCUGACUGAGGGAUAACCCGUCGAAAGUCGGCCUAAUACCUCAUGGCAUCGUCUGCGGGCAUCCAACGACGAUUAAAGAUUUCAUCGGUCAGAGAUGGGGAUGCGUCUGAUUAGCUUGUUGGCGGGGUAACGGCCCACCAAGGCGACGAUCAGUAGGGGUUCUGAGAGGAAGGUCCCCCACAUUGGAACUGAGACACGGUCCAAACUCCUACGGGAGGCAGCAGUGAGGAAUAUUGGUCAAUGGGCGAGAGCCUGAACCAGCCAAGUAGCGUGCAGGAUGACGGCCCUAUGGGUUGUAAACUGCUUUUAUGCGGGGAUAAAGUGAGGGACGUGUCCUUCAUUGCAGGUACCGCAUGAAUAAGGGCCGGCUAAUUCCGUG
Molecule: ribosomal RNA, 491 nt
Filed under: uncultured bacterium
Lineage: Bacteria
Description: partial 16S ribosomal RNA
Rfam family: Bacterial small subunit ribosomal RNA
Source: RNAcentral